This 433-nucleotide ribosomal RNA is filed under the name uncultured bacterium. RNAcentral's name for it is "partial 16S ribosomal RNA". It matches the Rfam family "Bacterial small subunit ribosomal RNA", at positions 29 to 507 of the family's 1533-position model. The record is from RNAcentral.
AACGAACGCUGGCGGCAUGCCUAACACAUGCAAGUCGAACGAUGCCUUCGGGCAUAGUGGCGCACGGGUGAGUAACGCGUGGGAACCUGCCCUGUGGUACGGAAUAAUUCCGGGAAACUGGAGCUAAUACCGUUUGGGUUCCCUGGGACAAAGAUUUAUCGCCACGGGAUGGGCGCGGGUAGGAUUAGCUUGUUGGUGGUGUAACGGCCGACCAAGGCUACGAUCCUUAGCUGGUCUGAUAGGAUGAUCCGCCACACUGGAACUGCGACCCGGCCCAGACUCCUACGGGAAGGAGCAGUGGGGAAUAUUGGACAAUGGGCGCAAGCCUGAUCCAGCAAUGCCGCGUAAGUGAUGAAGGCGUUCGGGUUGUAAAGCUCUUUCGCACGCGGCGAUGAUGACGGUAGCGUGAGAAGAAGCCCCGGCUAACUUCGUG